This is a long non-coding RNA of Vespa mandarinia (Asian giant hornet), 1474 nucleotides long. The record is from RefSeq and is a predicted model, not a curated record. NCBI's taxonomy places the organism in Eukaryota, Metazoa, Arthropoda, Insecta, Hymenoptera, Vespidae.
UUGUUUUGUUAAUUUAACACCAUAAUUUCAGGUUUGUUUCAUCUGAAUUAUUAUUUUACAAUCACGUGAUUGUAACCGUCACGUCUCAUAAUUGAUAAAUUGUGAGUUAUCAAAUGUAAUCAAUUUUUUCGACAAUUCACAUAUUUUUCGACAAUCACAAUAAAAUGUUAGUGGCCAAUAAGUGAGUUGUUUCUACAAUAAUUUAUAAUUACUUUCUUUUAUGCAAUUAUUAGGCGAUCUGAAUAUAUGUAACAUACCAUACUCUAAGAUUAUAUAUUAUUAUAUUAAAAGAUUUGAAUACACAGCAAGUAAUAUUAGUUCCGAUAAUAAAUCGAACAAAAAUUCUAUUCAGAUAUCAAAUUUAUGUAAUACACUUAAUCGUAGCAGAUUUACGAAGAUUGUUACGACAGGCUGUCUUCAUCAAGGGGGUUAUAUGAAAAAAUAUAUCGUUAUUAUUGGUAUUUAUUUUAUGUUGAAUAUUCGUUAAUUUGUAUAAAUUUAAUUUGUAGAAAAAUUAUUUUCCGUUAUAGAAGCACUUUGUAUAUUAUGUAUAAAAAAAAAGAAAAAAAUAAUUUACAUUUACAUACAUGCCUGCUCUGGAAGUUGUACUGGCCGAGGUUGAAACACAUCGAAGUCGAUAAUAAUAUGAUAUUGAGUUAAUGCUUGGUAAUAAUUUGUUCGAAUUCUGUCUCACGCUUCAACGAUAUGCUAUACUGGACUAAAUAGUUUAUGCCAAAGAACGAUUGGAAUCUAAGAAAAUACAUAAUUAUCACGACUGGUGGUUUAGAGAUGAUGUUGUUGGAUACUGCAUUAAUUGAAUACUACAGUAUAUAAGGCUUAAGAAUGAAUCGAUGGAGCUGUUGAAUUUUACAUAUUACAGGCUAUUGAUAAUAGUUGUAGCGCAUAAAAUGUUACCUGCAACAGGAGGUGUCUCAUGUAAGGAGCCGAAGUAGAUACUAUUACUAAUGCGAUGCAUCGGUUUUUUCCAUUAUCUUGAUUGAAAUUUUAACGGUACUACACGCUAAUCUUAGCCUCGAAAUUUUGGAAAGAUUUUUCUUAGUAAUUUGGGAGAUAAUGUCUGAAACACUUUUUCAGUUAGUUCAUAAUAAUCUGGAAAAAAGAAGACCACGUUCAUUCUACUUUAAUCUACACCAGAUGCUUCAUACAGUCAUUAAAUUUUACAAUAUUGGUACGGAUGAGACAUGGAAUGUGGAGAUUUUAGAGAAUAUUGAAAACAUCAAAAUACUUACUUUUCAUACACUUACUUCAAUAAUUUACAAGUUUGAUAAUUUUCCAAUUAAUUAAACGAUCUUUAAUGCAAAACAAUAAACAAAUACUGAAACAAUUGUAGAUUCGCUGAAUCUUUUCAUAGCUCGGAAUAAGCGUUAAAUAUGAAAUAAGUUUUAUUUAAAAUGUCGAUAAGUUCAAUUUUGUAUUCCAACUCUUUGCCUUCAUUAAAUUUAAUUUUAAUUUA